UGGGGAAUAUUGGACAAUGGGCGAAAGCCUGAUCCAGCCAUGCCGCGUGUGUGAAGAAGGUCUUCGGAUUGUAAAGCACUUUAAGUUGGGAGGAAGGGAAGUAAGCGAAUACCUUGCUGUUUUGACGUUACCGACAGAAUAAGCACCGGCUAACUCUGUGCCAGCAGCCGCGGUAAUACAGAGGGUGCAAGCGUUAAUCGGAAUUACUGGGCGGAAAGCGCGCGUAGGUGGUUCGUUAAGUUGAAUGUGAAAGCCCCGGGCUCAACCUGGGAACGGCAUCCAAAACUGGCGAGCUAGAGUAGGGCAGAGGGUGGUGGAAUUUCCUGUGUAGCGGUGAAAUGCGUAGAUAUAGGAAGGAACACCAGUGGCGAAGGCGACCACCUGGGCUCAUACUGACACUGAGGUGCGAAAGCGUGGGGAGCAAACAGG
RNAcentral lists this ribosomal RNA (429 nucleotides) under Pseudomonadota bacterium. RNAcentral's name for it is "Proteobacteria bacterium partial 16S ribosomal RNA". It matches the Rfam family "Bacterial small subunit ribosomal RNA", at positions 355 to 776 of the family's 1533-position model. Lineage: Bacteria; Pseudomonadati; Pseudomonadota. The record is from RNAcentral.